RNAcentral lists this long non-coding RNA (239 nucleotides) under Setaria italica (foxtail millet). RNAcentral's name for it is "long non-coding RNA (SITA_LNC002799)". The record is from RNAcentral. Lineage: Eukaryota; Viridiplantae; Streptophyta; Magnoliopsida; Poales; Poaceae.
AGGAUGUGUGUCGGGACCUCGUUAAUAUAAUGAUGAUACGAAUGGCCGCUGAUGUCAGGAUCAGAGAGAUCCAAACCGGAAUCACAAUUCACAAGAACAAAGGGGAAAUCGAGCCAAGAACAGAUGGGAAAAGAGAACGAAAAUAGCACUGCAGCAGCGACUUAACUGAUAAACUGGGAAGAUUCGGAUACAUGAGGUUGCCAUAACGGCGUUCUAGAGCUCCUGCUAAUGCUAGAGAU